Molecule: long non-coding RNA, 1149 nt
Filed under: Cyanistes caeruleus (blue tit)
Lineage: Eukaryota; Metazoa; Chordata; Aves; Passeriformes; Paridae
Description: lncRNA (ENSCCEG00000001605.1)
Source: RNAcentral
CCGCGGCUCCGGCCUGGAACGGGAGCGGUUCCCAAAUCCCAAAAUCCGGGAAUUCUGGGAUCUCCUUCCCCCAAAAUCUGGGAAUUCUGGGAUUUCUUCUCCCUCAAAUCCAGGAAUUCCGCGAUCUCCUCUCCCCCAUUCCUGAGGAUCCCAUCAGGACCCUCCCGGCGCCUCCAAAUUCCCUCCAAAUCCCCCAAAAUUCCCAAAAAUUCCCAAAAAUCCCAGCGGGAUGAUCCCAACUCCCAUCCCUGCCAGGAGUUCCCGUUCUCAGCCCCCCAAAAAUUCCCAAAAAUCCACAAAAUUCCGCCCCAAAUCCCCCCAAAAUUCCCAAAAAUCUCCCGAAAAUUCCUCCAAAACUCUCAGUCCCCCCCAAAUUCCCGAAAAUCCUCUCAAUCCUUCCCCAAAUUCCUGGAAUUUUCCCCCAAUCCCUCCCAGAAUUUAAAAGAGAUCCCUCAAAAUUCCCAAAAAUCUCCUGAAUUCCCAAAAAACCCCCUCAAAAUUCCCAAAAAUCUCCCGAAUUCCCAAAAAACUCUCCCAAUCCCCUCCAAAAAUUCCCUCAAAAUCCCAAAAAUCCUCAAAUCCUCCCCAGAAUUCCCGGAAUUUCCUUUUCCAGCGGCUCGGGAUUUCGGGAUCGGAGCCGCCCGGGGGAAUCCCGGGAUGAGGCUCCGGGAAGGGAUCCCAAAAAUCCGGGAUUUGGGAUCCGAGUUUGGUUUAUUACCAUCAGAAUUCCGGCAUUUGGAAUUUCGGGACUCGCAGCAUUCCCGGUGGGAAUUUCCCAAAUCCCAGGAAAUCGGAGCCAUCCCGGGCUCCAGAGCCGCCUCUUCCUCCCACGGAUCCCGGAAAAUUCCCAGAUCCCAAUCCUGGAUCCCAAUCCAAAUCCCUGGGAUUCCGGAACCGCGGGAAUCCAGGCUGGGAACGACCCCUUUCCCUGGGAUAUUCCCAGAUUUCCACUGAUCCCAGCACGAUCCCGGCUCCAGAGGGAACUUAUCCCAUUUUUUCCCCUUUUUUUCCCAUUUUUUUCCCAUUUCUUCCAGUUUUUUUCCCAUUUUUUUCUGUUUUUCCCAUUUUUUCCCCAGUGUUUUCCAUUUUUUCCCAUAUUUUUUCCCAUUUUUUCCCCAUUUUCCCAUUUUUUCCCAUUUUUCCCGUUUU